This 773-nucleotide ribosomal RNA is filed under the name uncultured phototrophic eukaryote. Its description in RNAcentral is "bacterial SSU rRNA". It matches the Rfam family "Bacterial small subunit ribosomal RNA", at positions 537 to 1316 of the family's 1533-position model. The record is from RNAcentral.
AGCGUUAUCCGGAAUCAUUGGGCGUAAAGCGCCUGUAGGUUGUUUAAUANNUCUGUUGUUAAAGCCUAGGGCUUAACCCUAGAAAAGCAAUGGAAACUACUAGACUAGAGUAUGGCAGGGGUAGAGGGAAUUUCUAGUGUAGCGGUGAAAUGCGUAGAUAUUAGAAAGAACACCAGUGGCGAAAGCGCUCUACUGGACCAUUACUGACACUCAGAGGCGAAAGCUAGGGUAGCAAAAGGGAUUAGAUACCCCUGUAGUCCUAGCCGUAAACGAUGGAUACUAGAUGUUGUGCAUAAUGUACAGUAUUGUAGCUAACGCGUUAAGUAUCCCGCCUGGGGAGUACGCUCGCAAGGGUGAAACUCAAAGGAAUUGACGGGGGCCCGCACAAGCGGUGGAGCAUGUGGUUUAAUUCGAUGCAACGCGAAGAACCUUACCAGGGCUUGACAUACUACGAAUUCUUUAGAGAUAGAGAAGUGCCUUCGGGAAUGUAGAUACAGGUGGUGCAUGGCUGUCGUCAGCUCGUGUCGUGAGAUGUUGGGUUAAGUCCCGCAACGAGCGCAACCCUUGUUUUUAGUUACUAAUUCGUUAGGUUUUCUAGAAAGACUGCCGGUGACAAACCGGAGGAAGGUGAGGAUGACGUCAAGUCANCAUGCCCCUUAUGUCCUGGGCUACACACGUGCUACNAAUGGCUAAGACAAAGAGUCGCGAGCUCGCGAGAGUCAGCUAAUCUCAUAAACUUGGNCCUAAGUUCAGAUUGUAGGCUGCAACUCGCC